This 586-nucleotide ribosomal RNA is filed under the name uncultured bacterium. Its description in RNAcentral is "partial 16S ribosomal RNA". It matches the Rfam family "Bacterial small subunit ribosomal RNA", at positions 355 to 1375 of the family's 1533-position model. The record is from RNAcentral.
UGGGGAAUUUUGGACAAUGGGCGAAAGCCUGAUCCAGCAAUGCCGCGUGUGUGAAGAAGGCCUUCGGGUUGUAAAGCACUUUUGUCCGGAAAGAAAUCCUUGGCUCUAAUACAGUCGGGGGAUGACGGUACCGGAAGAAUAAGCACCGGCUAACUACGUGCCAGCAGCCGCGGUAAUACGUAGGGUGCAAGCGUUAAUCGGAAUUACUGGGCGUAAAGCGUGCGCAGGCGGUUUGCUAAGACCGAUGUGAAAUCCCCGGGCUCAACCUGGGAACUGCAUUGGUGACUGGCAGGCUAGAGUAUGGCAGAGGGGGGUAGAAUUCCACGUGUAGCAGUGAAAUGCGUAGAGAUGUGGAGGAAUACCGAUGGCGAAGGCAGCCCCCUGGGCCAAUACUGACGCUCAUGCACGAAAGCGUGGGGAGCAAACAGGAUUAGAUACCCUGGGUAGUCCACGCCCUAAAACGAUGUCAACUAGUUGUUGGGGAUUCAUUUCCUAGUAACGUAGCUAACGCGUGAAGUUGACCGCCUGGGGAGUACGGUCGCAAGAUUAAAACUUAAAGGAAUUGACGGGGUCAUAGCUGUUUCCU